Molecule: long non-coding RNA, 352 nt
Filed under: Ananas comosus (pineapple)
Lineage: Eukaryota; Viridiplantae; Streptophyta; Magnoliopsida; Poales; Bromeliaceae
Description: long non-coding RNA (ACOM_LNC020024)
Source: RNAcentral
ACUAUGAGGCACGGGUGAUAUUUUGGUACUCAUCAAAUUUUAAUUUACUAUAAUUUUUAAUUCGAACUAUCAAAAUUGUUGAAAUUAAGUUUUACAAUCUAAUUUAGUUGAGUAAAUAUUAACGCAUCGUUAAUGUAAAAGUGAUGUGAUAUCUUAAUUAUUAGCCUAUUAUCAAUUAUAAUACUACUGCGUACAACACUUCUACAUUAGUGAUAUACCGUUAUUUAGUGAUCAACUAAUUUUGGCUAUAGAACUUAAUGACAACAAUUCUGAAAAAUUGAACUAUAAAUUCCAACAAAUUAAAAUUUAAGGACAAAAACGUCACUGCCCUCCAAAUGUUCAAUUAACCCUU